UACAGAGGUCUCAAGCGUUGUUCGGAUUUACUGGGCGUAAAGGGCGCGUAGGCGGUCGUGACAAGUCACUUGUGAAAUCUCCGGGCUUAACUCGGAACGGUCAAGUGAUACUGUCGGACUAGAGUGCAGAAGGGGCAACUGGAAUUCUCGGUGUAGCGGUGAAAUGCGUAGAUAUCGAGAGGAACACCUGCGGCGAAGGCGGGUUGCUGGGCUGAUACUGACGCUGAGGCGCGAAAGCCAGGGGAGCGAACGGG
RNAcentral lists this ribosomal RNA (254 nucleotides) under uncultured bacterium. RNAcentral's name for it is "partial 16S ribosomal RNA". It matches the Rfam family "Bacterial small subunit ribosomal RNA", at positions 524 to 776 of the family's 1533-position model. The record is from RNAcentral.